UCAAAAUUACUUGGUUGUUAAUUGCGUCCAAAUCCUUUGUUGAUCACAUUGAUUGCAUCCUAAUAUAUCAGUGAUCACAUUGAUUACAUCCAUAUCAUGUACUAGCUAUAAACUAUCUAAUCUAGAAGUGGUCGUCCUUUAAUCCAUAAUACGCCAGUAUAACAUGGACCUUGCUUUGGGACUUAACAUAGAAACUGAGAUACCAACUAGGAAAGAUACACUCAGAGAAACUAGAAAAUAGCAAGACAUUUGGUAUGUCAUGGUUAACACAUAUGUUACUCUGAGCAUCGACCUGCCUCCUUGGUAAGCCCAGUUCCCAUGGAAGAUGUGUUUUUAUUGGUUACACAUGUAUAUCUUGGGCCCUAGUUUUUUGUGGCCCAUAAAAUAAUAUGUACAAGGCUUUUCUGGAAGUAGCCAACACAACCUAAUAUAUUAUAUGUUAAAAGUAAUUGAUGGGCUCACCAAAAAAGGACAAAAGUGCUAGAAAAUCCCUCAAAACAAAAAACAUCUGACUAUCUAUCUAUUAUAUAUUAUAAGUAAUCGACGGGCUCCCCAGAAAAAAGAUAAAAAAUGCUAGAAAACUCCUCAAAAAAUAAAAUCAUUCGACUGUCUAUUUAAUAGGCUGGAAUUUUAUAACCAUUAGAAUAGUUCUAAGUGAAAUCAUUACCCACCAUUGCCAUUAUAAGAAAAAAUGCUUCAUCCAACUUAUUAGGACGUGGGUUGAUGCCAUCUUAUUAAGAUGUGGGCUGAUGCCAUAUUAUAAUGGAAAAAUAGUUACGUUCCCAUAAUACAAAAAGGACUACUCACACAUGAACACGGUGGCAGCAAUGUUCAUGUAAAUGAUCUCUGUGAUGUAUUCCUCCUCGGUAGAGUACCUGAUUGGAUAUUCACGGAGCAGAGAGGUGGGCGGCGCAAAAAUCCUCUAUUAAUAUUUUUGAGGUUUUCGGGAGUAUAUAAAGGCAGCGGAAGAAAGAGGCGAUGGAGGCGACUUCUAUGGCGGCCAUGCUCCCCCUUGGAUGCUAGUGCCGAUCAAUGGCAUGUGGCCUAGUGUCCAGGUGGGUCCAUGUCCCUCCGGCUUCAUUUCUUCAUGAAACUUGGUGUGUUUUUUCAGUUCUUUGGUCCCUGAAAAGUUCAUUUUUUAAAGAAUCCAAAAAACAACAACUGGCACUUUGCACUGAAUUAAUAGGUUAAUCAAGAAAAAUAUAAAACUUGAUGCCAAUACUAUGCCAUCAUGAUAUAAUUAUAGCAUGAAACAAUAAACAUUUAUAAAUACGUAUAGGACAUAUCAACUGGCAUGAAUAAAUUGAUGUUUUUCUAGGGUUCGCUAAUACUCGGCAAUAUUGUUCUCCUAGAUAACCAGAUAGACACAAGGUACUCCUUGGUUCCUAUUGGUUCGACGUCCAAGCUAAAAUGGUGACUAGCACGAAUAAAUUGAUGGCUUUCUCUAUCGCUCAGUAUUACUUGAUGACACUCUUCUGCUGGGUAGCUGAACAGAAGCGAGGUUCUUCCUACCAAUUACAAAUGGGCGACUCCCACUAUGUCGCCAUUGCCACGUUAAUCCAAGCUAAAAUGGUGACAAGCAUGAAUAAAUACUUGUCUUUCUCUAAGGCUUAUUAAUAAUUCAUGGUACUAUUCGGUUGGAUAGCCAGACAGAAGUAAUGUACUCCUUGUCAAUUUGAGGGCACAACUCUUGGCAUCUAGCCAUCCGUCUGGUGACUAGCACGAAUAAAUUGAUGUCUUUCUCUACAACAAAUGAUUGAUGGUACUAUUCGGCUAGACAACUAGAUAGAAGCAAGGUACUCCCUGGUUCCUGCCGAUUUAAGGCGGAUGGCUCCCGGUAAUAUGUGCAUUAAUCCAAACGGAAACGGUGACUAGCAUGAAUAAAUCCAUGUCUUUCUUUUUGGAUCUUUAAUACUUCCACAUUUCGACUAGGUUGUCCGGAAGCGUGAGGUGGGCAUCUUCAGAUACUGAGCCACAUGCACAUUAAUCCAUGCUAAAAUGGUGACUUGCACAAAUAUAUCGAUAUCUUUCUCUAGGGCUCAUUAACACUUGAUGGUAUCAUUUGGUUGGACAACCGGAUGGAAAGCAAGUAUUCCAUGAUUUCCUAUCCAUAUAGGGUGGAUGGCUCCAGGGCACGAGAUAGUUACACAAUAAUCUGGGCUCAUCUAAAACGAAUAAAUGGAUGUCUUUCUCUAUGGCUCAUUAAUACUUUGGUGGCACUCUUUGGGGUGUACAAAAGCGAGGUACUCCGUUCUGAUUUCAGGUGGUUGUGGGACCACUAGAUGGACACAAGCAAGGUACUCCCUGUCAUUUGGGGGAAUAUUUUAAAUAUUAUUUGUAUUACAUAAAUUUCGAAAAUAUAACCCUAACAUAUAAUAUUUCACUGGUAGUACUCCGCAUGUCAGUGCCAACAAUGACAGGUAUCAUUAGCACUGCCAAUGAUACAUCUGUUGUCGUUUUGAGUCAUGUGGGCCAUCAUCAGUGCAUCCUACAUCAGCCCUCCCACAUGACACACUCGUACAGAGCAAGCUACCUUUGGUCAUGUACAAUGUUGCUAUAUUUGCAAUGUCACCUAAGAUCAUUGAUGAGUUAAACGAGAGUGAAUGGAGGAAAAAAAAGGCUUGCCAUCUCUUACCUAAGAGAAGGUCUCUCAAGAAAAGAAGAUAAGACAAUGCUAUCCAAUGUACUAGAUGUCAUCUCUUAUAUUUUCUAGUUUAAUUUUAACCAUCACAUUAAUUUAAGAGCAUGUAAAGGUUACUUGUUAGGCUAAGAGCUAAUUCAUUGUAUAAUAUGUUUUUAAGCUUCUCUAAAUGACAUACAUAGCAUACGAGAAUAUUGUAACAAAUAACUAUUUGUGUAUAGUGUGCUCGGUCUAUUAUGUAGAUAUAAAGCAUGUGCUAUUUGAAUGUAAUGUUGCAAGGGAGGUUUGGGACAAUCUUGGUCUACUGGAACUAACCGAAGAGGCAUGCAUGCUGGACCAUUGAGGUAGUGUUUUUUUUCACAAAUUCACAAUUGAUUUUUUUAUUUGCUAAUAUUAUUUUUAAAAAGCAUGAUUUUUUUAGUUUGAGAACAUUUUAAAAUUUUCAGAAAUUAUUUUUAAUUGGGGAAUAAUUAUAAUUUGAUGAGCAUUUUUAAACAUCCUAAACAUUUAUUUUAAUUAGAAUAUAUUUUUAUAAAGUUGCAAACCUUAAAAUCCAUGGAUUGUUUUUCAAAAUUCGAAGCAUUUAUUAAAAUUCUUGAAAAUAUGUAGAAAAUGAAUAAAAUUUAUCAGCAUUUGUUAAAAUUUUCACAGUAGGCAACCUUUUAAUAAGUUUUCUAGUAAACAGCUAAAAAUAGAUCUGUACAACUGAGAAAAAGCUAUAUCUCGCAAGAUAUAACCUGAGCUCGCCUCUGAGCCCACCUUAGUGGGUGGGCCCAAUGGUUCGGAUUUGGAAAGGUAGUACUGGCUGGUACAGAUUUGUUUUAGAACCAGUUUCACAAAAAAACUAGUUUUAGAACCUUUCGAGUUAUUAUUUUUCCUUUUUGUUAUUCGGUGUUUUCUUGGUGUACUUCAUUUUUAUUUCUUGUUUAUUUUCUCUAUUGGUUUUCAUUAGUCUCAUUAUUGAAUUUUAUGUUUUUCAUUCCUUUCUCUCUUUUUUGCAUUUUUCAAAUACACAUUGACUUUAUUUAAAUACACAUUGGAAAAUGCUUAUACAUGUUGAACCUAUUUGGAUACACGUUAAACACUUUUCAAAUACAAUUUGAAUACUUUUUUAAAUACACCUUGAACAUUUUUCAAAUGUACACUUGUAGGGUAACGCGGCAGAAAACAAAAAAAUUCCGACCUAUGCACCAGCCCAGGACCACUAUGGAGACUGCAUACAUGGUUUGAUCUUUUUCGUUACCGACUCGUAGCGCAGCGGGAAGUAGAGUCGAUGACGAUCGGCGGUGCAGAUCCCCGCAGCUAGGGUUUACAACCUCCCAACCGCGAGGAUGUAUACCCUCAUCUGCUCCUCAGGCAGCCCUUCGGGAGGACCUUCGAAACUCGGACAGCCCUUCGGGAGGACCUUCGAAACUGGAAGGUCACUCAGACAGCCCUUUGGGAGGACCUUCGAAACUCGGACGGUCACACGGACAGCCCUCCGGGAGGCACUCACGAAGUAAGACCGAAACUAUGAUCUCCUCUACAGAGUUGCACACAUACGGUGUCAUCUAUCCGGCAGCUUCGCCGUUCAGAAGUAGUUCCUGCCGGAACCCAGACAGCCUUUCGGCUCUACGAAACUAUUUCACGGGGAGGGAGAGAGAAGUCAAAUCAUUGCAUGGCACUUGUAUGUGAGAAGGGAUGAGGAGAAUGGCAGCCCCUUCUCCUCCUUUUAUAGGCCAAGGCAAGGGGUGGGGCGGUGGAGGAAAUACCAAAACACCCAUGCUACAUGUCCCACAUGAAGGGUGAAAUGGUAACUCAAGUGGGGCACCAAGGGGAUACCAUGGAGGCACCCCCUUGGCCAGCCACAACCUUGCCCCCUCCCAUGGGGGGGGGGGGGCAACAAGCCACCAACAUGUCUCCUAGAAACAUGGGUGCUCCCUAGACAAAAAGCCACCAAACAUGUAACUCCCGAUUCGUGGGAUCUUGUCCCCUCAUGCUGAGACAAGAUGUUUUCCGCGAAACAUUUUUUCUGAAAAAUUCCGGAAGGUCCCAGAACAUUUCCGGCACCCUCUAAAAUUCUUCUGGGCAUGAUCCGAAACAUUUCCGGUGUGGUGAUUUUUAUCAGCGAAAAGUAACAACGGCGGUUACGGCAGCUCCGGAACAUUUUCGGUUUUUCUCUCCGAAAAUUCCCAAAAGUUCCCAGACCAAUUCUGGGGCCCUCUAAGAAUUUCCAGGCGAGUGCCGAAACCAUUUUGACCUAAUAAUAUAUUCCGAAACAACUUUUCGGUUUUACCGAAACUCUUUUGGUGUUCUCUCUCCGGAAAUCUUCUGUUGUCUCCGAAACUUUUCCGGUGACUUUCUCUCAGACUCCCUGUCUAGUAUUCAGCAGAUAGAUGACCCUUAAGCGUGUGACCCUAUAGGUUCGGUGAAGUAUAGACAUGACCUGGAACCCCUUCCGAUCAAUGAUCAACAUCGGAGCCGUGGACACCGAUAUUGACCCCUAUACCCACACGAAUGAAUAUUCGAGUGAACCUCCAGUUGCCGUGUGCUAUUCCUGUUGCUUUGUGACAUGUUACAAAUACCCGAGGUGAGAUUUACUUGCAUCCCCGUGGAUCAACGACUUGUCCACUAUGCUAGUUACCUCGUUACCGGUUUUGUUCUCUUUUCUCGUUUCCGUGUUGCGGCAUCCCUGUGAUCAAAUCACACUGUGUCUGGCCAGACGAUGAUGGAUAUCGUAACACUGAGAGGGCCCGAGAAUAUCUCUCCAUCGUCGGAGGAGCAAAUCCCAAUCUUGAGCUAUCAAGUUACUUGACACACUUUUCCAUGAACCCGUAAGCCGCCAUAAUAGCCACCCAUUUACGGAUGACGUUUAACAAACCCCAAAGUUCAUGAAGCAAGUAUGAAGAAACUCGAUACUCUCAUGGUCUAAGGAAUUAUGCAAACGUUAACCAUCUCUGUGUUAUGUACCAUUAACUUGUGACGAACGAAUCUCAUAGCAUAACAUCAAUCUGGGUCGAUUCAACACAAAUGUUCUCUUAACAUUGUGCCCUCAAAGUUGCUGCCAUAGACAUGCCCAUGACCAGGAAAACAAAAUCAUCAUGCAACACUUGAGCUAGUCUUAGAGGCCAGACUAGGAAUACUUCUUACCGUUUAUUAUUCCACACAUGCAUAUGAGUCUUCCUCCGAGCCUCGUGUUAUUGCAGACUCGAGAACCAUAGCAGUUAUAGCAUGGAACAUAAACAUAAUUAUGAACAUGGAGAUAAGUAAUAGCAUUUAUUAUUGCCUCUAGGGCAUAUAUCCUACAACACUAAACAUCUUUAGAAUACAAUGUGAAAUUUUCCUAAACACACAAUGACCAUUUUUCAUAAAUGCCAUGAAUAUUAUUUUUAGUUGUGCAAACAGUUUUGAAGUACUAAGGAAAUUUUCUUCAAAUUCAUGAACCUUUUUUCAAUGGUAUGAAACAUUUUCUGAAGAUUGCACAAACAAAAUUUAACUUUGUAUGAAUUGUUUUUAAAAAUUCCGCGAACUUAUUUUUAAACACAUGAACAUCUUUCUAAUAUGAUAAUCAUUUUUUGAAUAUUGUGAACAUUUUCUACAAACUAUGCAAACAACUUUUUUACAUUACAUGAAGACUUUUUAAUGCUGAUCAACAUUUUAAAAACUAAAUAAAAUAAAAUAAAUAAAUAAAAUAAUACUCAAAAUAUUUAGAAAUAUAAUAUAUAUAUAUAUAUAUAUAUAUAUAUAUAUAUCAAAAAUAAACAAACGAAACAUAGCAAGACUCCCUACUAGCAGGGCCACUAUGGGAUCCCUCGAGCUACUAUCUCGCUAAAAGCUAGACAUAGCGGGGACCUCCUAAUCAGCGCUUCAGGCGCCAGUUGAGCCAACUGGCGCUCACUGCAGCACGCCAGUGGGCCGGCCCAUAAACAGCAGCACAAAAAUUAUUAAAUAGUGCGAAAAACACCCAAGAAGGGCUAGGGGGAGGGGUCGAACGCGCGUUCGGCUGACCACUUGUGCUACAAUGCCUUCGUUGUAAUAUCGGUGCACGUAGAUUUCAAUAACAAAAUAGUAGCCGCGCUAUUUAGAAAACUUGAUUUCUUUUCAAGCAUAAAUGUGAACAAAAAUUCAAUGUCCACAGAUUCAAAAACCAUCACGAAUUAGAAAAAAGUUCACCGAAUUUGAAAAUUUUCAAUAAAUUUUGAAAAAGUUCAUCGAAUUUACAAAAGUUCAUCGGAUUUGAAAAAAAAAGUUCAUCAAAUUUUAAGAAAGUUCAUGGAAUUUGAAAAGCGUUCAUCGAAUUAUAAAAAGAGUUUAUCAAUUAAGAAAAAAAGGGUUCAUGAAUUCUAAAAAGGACGCAAUAAAGAAAACAAAAAGAAGAGACAGAAAAGCAGAAGAAAAAAUGAAAAAGAAAGAAGAAAAAAGCAGAACCGAAGUAAAGAAUAAGAGAAAAAGAGAACAAUCAGUCAAUUACUGGUGCAGUGGUGCUUAGCCUGGCGGCUGGAACGAAACCGUGAAGUGGUUGCCGGUUCGAAACCGGGAUCAUGCUCAUUUUUUGCGUUUGGAAAACAAAUUAUAUGGGUCGGCCCAGCUCAUUUGCAGAAUACACAUUAACAAGCGCCUGCAGCGCUAAAUAGGAUUUGCCCACAUCGGCGCCGUAAACGCAUCACAAUCACAUUAGAUUGGAUAAAAACCUGCCAAAGUGGGCCGUCUCAAUACGUGCGUGGCCGUUUGCUCGACUACCAGCAGACAGUGGCCUAGUCCACGUUGCUGUCAUCCACUCAUUCCCAAAAAAACCUCAAAAAAACUCAUUCCCCCCAAAAAGUACAUGAUGCUGUAAAAGAAAUGGAAAUGAGCUUAUUUGACUAUUUUUUACUACUAAAUAAAAUACUUUUUGUAGCUUUAAAAAACCGGAUGACAAACCGUGAACUUCGGUCCAAUCAAUCGAUGAAAACUUGAACCGACAACUUCACUCAUUUAAAACUAUGGUAUAAAGGGUUGACUAACAAAUUGGAGUAGUUAGAGCAUCUACAGCCGGACCUCUCAAACCCGCCUCAGACGCGCGGGGCAGGCCGCCUGUUCACUGAUUGGUCAUGUUUUUUCGAUCCAGACAGACGACUCAAACGGGCCUCAAACGCCCAGGCUGAUCAGCAUCCACCAUAUACAGGCCAAAUAUGGGGCACACGGGCACGCCUACCACGUCGAACCCGGACCAUGCUGGCCCACCCGACCCUACUUAUAUUCGUCGCCAUCCUCUCGCCUGAGCAAACCCUAGCCACUUCACUCCACUCCUCUCCGCCACUCCAGCUCACCUCCGGCGGUUUCCGGCCUUCUCCGCCAUGGCAGGCAGUGGAUCAGACUCCGACCAGUCAGGAUCCGUCGAUCUGGGUGUCAUCCCGUGUGGGUUGGAAGAGGCAAUGGCAGUCCGCAUUGCACUCCGCCGCGGACAAUGAUAGUGCCCGGCAGGCAGACGGAUCCGUCCGCGCGCCGCGACGCCUUAGCAUCGCCUCACCGGGCACUCGGGUCCUCUGGUGCUAAAUCCUCGUUGUCCCGGCAGCCGGAACACCUCUCCUUCCUCAUCACCGGCCGGGCAGGCUAUGAGUCCCACCGGUAACGGGUGGCCCGCUGUGGGAAGGAAAGGAUAAGGGCCGCCGAGGCCCGUAUCGCGGCGAAAAUGGCGGCGGUGGAGGCGGCUGAUACGGCGGCGCAGGCGGCCGCACAGGAGAAGCCAUCUGCACCCGCAUUGUGAAGAAACGGCUGCUGAGGAACAUGCGUGCCCUCGCCCGAGAGAAGAAUCGGGCGGUCCGUGCCAUGGCUGGACUGCCACCGAAGGCGACGGCGAGGUCAGCACCGGCGACGAGCAGAUCCAGCUCGAUCUGUACUGCUUCUUCGACCGGUACUUCCGCGAGGACAGCGAAGGUGUCGGGAAGGGCAAGGGCAGUCAUGGGUAAACUCCACAAUAGACAUGCCAAAUUUUGCUAGUCCGAUGGCAUGUUUAGUGUAGUGUGAUGGAGUAGUCGGACGAUGUGUGUGCAUCGACGUAGUUGCAUGAGUUUGUAUGGAUUUGAGAUAUGGUAAUUGACGUGUCCGGGCGUUUGAGGGAUUGGAUUUGCCAAGUCCCGGUUGUAUAUGCUGUUAACAGAAUGUCCCAUUCCCAACAGUAGAUAUGUAUCAAUUUAUAUCUGGGUUAGAUGGAAACAACGCAUCUGAUUUUUAGCUCUUUUGGAAAGGUGCCAAACGGUAAAGAAUCCCAACCAUAAAUAUCGCCGAUCACCGUCGCUGCCCAACGGUCUAUUCACGUCUAUUAAGAAAACCAUGAUUUCUCAUAUUCAUUAAUUAAUAUGAGGUGCAGUUGUUGUUCUUGGUAGUGUUAUGCAAUCAGAAGUAAUGGAUUCUCUAGUCUCUUGAGUUGAAGUUUGGAUUUGUUUUCUAUCUUUUAAUUUAUUUAUUUAAUGAGCAUGGCUUAUGUUUUUAGUUGACACGCUAAUGUUUGCCUCACAAUAUUAUAAGAGGUGCGUUGUUGGAAUACAUGUUCCACUUCCUUCAUUUGUAAGAUGACAAUAAUCUAAACAACAAUAAAAAACAAAACUGUAGCUAUUGAUGAAAACACAUCAUGGACCAAGACCUGGAACACUUAGCAUGCAUAUUUUUCCCAAAGAUCCUAAUUAAGAAAAUAGUCCAAAGGAUAAUGAAUUUGGAAACAAAUAUAUUUUAUUUCAAUAUAGCUCUUAAAUGUAAGCGCUAAAUAGCAUCUACAAAAGCUCUCCAUAGUAUAUAAGACCAUCAAUAUCUUGUCCAGUGGAAGAGGGCGGCACAUCAACCCAUCCACCAUUUACCAUGGAAGACUGUCCUAGAUCGGUACCGCUAGAGCCUAAGUAAUCAUCCAUCCCAAGGAAACUAUUGUAGAAUGCCUGAUCUGAUAGAGCAUGACCCCAUUGUUCAGUGUUAAAUGGGUCAUCAAUAGAAAAAGCAUUGCCACUUGAGUACCCCAAUAGUGGAGAGGCCUCCAAAUUCUGCCCAGACAUUGAGUCGUGGUUUGCAUCACUUUGUUGUGGUUUCACUAUGUCGCAAGGACUUUCAUAGUUCUGAACAUGCAACUCCUCAGGUUGAGUUUGCUCAUGUACCUGAUUUGGUAUGGAUUGGACAUGGGAAGCCAAGUGUGGAGCUAAAGAUGGUGGCGCAAAGUCAAACAUUUGUGGUACCUGCAUAGGAAAAAGUGGUGCCGAAGUUUGUUCUGGUUGUGAUGGUAGUGGAUCUGCAGGUGGCUGGAGUUGUGAGAGAUUGUGAGGCCAUGAUGGCUGCAUUAGUGAAUGAGUAGUACCCAAAUGAUCUGUCGGCAGAACACUUGGUACUUGCAGAUCUUGUGCUACACAUGUGCCACUGGUCUUGGCUUCACGACCAUGCAAUGGAGGUAGCCAGCAUCUAAUGUCUUUUUGGACCUGAGAGAGCUCACUGAAGAGCUUAUUUAGAUCUUCAAGACCGAGAUCUUGUUCCUUCGUGAAGAUAAGAUUUGCCACCAUACUUGGAUUCUCUUCUUGGAUACUUUUCAUAGAAGGAUGGAAAGUUUGUUUCGGUCUUCCUCGGCCAUGUUCUCCAUGUCCAACUGAGCCACCUCGUUUUGUAGGCUUCCAAUCCUAGCAGUGGUUGCCUCAUUGGUGGAGGGAACUGCUGGUGGAGCUCCAAAUAGGAAAGAAUCAACAAUGGGAUCAGCCAAUGGUGUCCCAAAUGAGUGCAUCUUUCCAUUAUGUGUCUCUAGGACGACUGCAACCCUAGCCCUGGUGAGGGCAGAGAUGUCAGUCGCCCUCUUGAACAAACCGGAACGUCGCUUGUAGAAGGUGAGAUCACGGUCUUUGUCAUUCUGGAUGUAUGCCACACCUGACCGCCGCUCUUUCCUCGGCAUACUAUUGUGGACAAAGAGGAAGAAACUUACUACUACAAAUAGGAAGCACAAGUAUCUACAAAAAACUAGAGAUUUACAGGUACUGUUGGCUAACAGCAUAUUGGUGUAGGAUAUGAGAAGAUGUACUCCCCUUAUAUAGAAUAAAAGGGUUGUAUGGGAGUGCUAUUUGACUAUGCUAAGGCUAUGUAAAUAUUUAGUAAGAAUUAACAUACAUAACUCAUAAAAGGUGCUAGUUUAUGGAUACUAUUAACUCUCGUCCAAAUAUACAUAUGUGAAUGCAUUGACAUCCUUCUUUGCAACCACUGAUAUGUCUUUCUUAUGAUGUAAGUAUUCACAUCCAUAUAUAGAACUAUUAACACUUACAAAAAUUGAAAUAUUAAAUGAUUGCCAUUUGACUACAUCCAUAUCCUUAUCUAGAAGUAUUAAUGGGAGUUAAACCCAACUAAGUUUUACUCUAAUAUACAAAAUAAUUGUGGUCAAGUUUGUUUGGUUGUUAAUUGCUUCCAAAUCCUUUGUUGAUCACAUUGAUUACAUCCUAGUAUAUCAGUGAUCCCAUUUAUUACAUGCAUAUCAUGUACUAUCUAUGAACUAUCUAAUCUAGAAGUGGUCGUCCUUUAAUCCAUAAUACGCCAGUAUAACAUGGACCUUGCUGAGGGAGUCCUGGGUUAGGGGGUCCUCGGACAGCCGGACUAUAUACUUUGGCUGGACUAUUGGACUGUGAAGAUACAAGAUUGAAGACUUCGUCCCGUGUCCGGGUGGGACUCUCCUUUGUGUGGAAGGCAAGCUUGGCAAUUCAGAUAUGUAGAUCUCCUCCCUUGUAACCGACUUUGUGUAACCCUAGCCCCCUCUGGUGUCUAUAUAAAUCGGAGGGUUUAGUCCGUAGGACAAGAACAAUCAUAAUCAUAGGCUAGCUUCUAGGGUUUAGCCUCUACGAUCUCGUGGUAGAUCAACUCUUGUAAUACUCAUAUCAUCAAGAUCAAUCAAGCAGGAAGUAGGGUAUUACCUCCAUCAAGAGGGCCCGAACCUGGGGAAACAUUGUGUCCCCCGCCUCCUGUUACCAUCCGCCUUAGACGAACAGUUCGGGACCCCCUACCCGAGAUCCGCUAGUUUUGACACCGACAUUGGUGCUUUCAUUGAGAGUUCCACUAUGUCGUCGCCAUAAGGCUUGAUGGCUCCUUCGAUCAUUGGCAACGAUGCGAUCCAGGGUGAGGUUUUUCUCCCCGGACAGAUCGUCGUAUUCGGCGGCUUCGCACUGCGGGCUAACUCGCUUGGCCAUCUGGAGCAGAUCGAGAGCUACGCCCCUGGCCGUCAGGUCAGGUUUGGAAACUUAAACUAUACCGCAGACAUCCGCAGAGACUUGAUCUUCGACGGAUUCGAGCUAGUGUCAGGUGCGCCGCACAGUCACGACGAGCAUGACUUAGCUCUGCCGCCAGAUAGUGUUCGAUAGAUCACACCUGUGGCAACUCCGGACCUCGAUCAGGAGCAGAUCACGCCGUCCGAGGACGGGUGGAUGGACCCCGCCACGGAGGCCGCACACUCAACGGCGAUAGUGCCGAAUACUGACUUCACCUCCUACGAGACCUGUGUUGCCAGAUCCUUGGAUUCGUCCCCGGCCACGGGCUCCGAACCGCCUGCUUCCGUGCCUAUCAAAUCUGAUUGGGCGCCGAUCAUGGAGUUUUCCUCCGCGGAUAUCUUUCAGCACUCGCCCUUGGGCGAUGUGCUAAAUUCAUUAAGGUCUCUCUCCUUGUCAGGAGGCCCUUGGCCGAACUAUGACUGGCUGGAGUAGGAAGCGAACGACGAAGAAAUUCGUUCCCCACCCACCACCCACUUAAUAGCCAUUGUCGAUGACUUAACCGACAUGCUUGAUUUCAACUCCGAAGACAUCGACGGUAUGGACGACGAUGCAGGAGAGGAACAGGACAGCCACUUCAUCACACGAUAUAUACAUGGUGGAUACACCCAAAGAAAACAAUGAUGAGGAACGGCAGGAUGCAGCGAAGGAUAAUACCCUCGAGAAGCAACCAAAGCGACGACAUAGGCGCCGCUCCAAAUCCCGCCUCGGCAAAAACAGCGAUAACAGCACAAGAAAGAAUAAUACCCCGGUCGACUCCAAAGCAAACGACGACCACAUGGACCCAGUCAUAGAGCAGUAUGAACCAGCGGACGGUGAAGAUAGUACGGAGCCGUUGUCCCAUCACGGCGAUGCCGAGGGUAAAGCUCAUCAACCUAUAUACGGAGAGGAGAACAGUCCGGACGACGAUGCACACAUCAUCCCGGAAAGGCACUUGGAGCAAGAGGACCUCCACAGAAGGCUUAUUGCCACCGCGAGGAGUCUGAAGAAGCAAAAGCAAAGGCUUAAGGCCAUGCAAAAUACACUCAACAGUAGAUGGAACAAAGUGCUCGACACUGAAGAAAAGUACGGUGGCAGCCGCCACACAAAGAGCUAUCCAAAGCGCAAGCCGCUGCCCGAAUUUGAUGACGAGGCUUUAGAGCCUAUACAGCCGAAAAAUAAAACGGCCAAUCAGCCGGAUCGACCACCCCGUGGCCGCGAUAGGGCGGCUAACGAUGUCGCACAUAAGUCAGCACACGAUUUACGUGAGGACUUGCACCAAAAAGCCGGUAUGACCAGGUCCAUCUACGGAUCUAGAAAGCGCGCUCCGGCACAGAAUCAAAACCGAACACUACAACCGUCAGAAUGCCAUGACACAUCCAAAUACAGGGGUGCCGCGCACCCCCUAUGCUUCACCGAUGAGGUUAUGGAUCACGAAUUUCCAGAAGGAUUCAAACCCGUGAACAUUGAGGCAUAUGACGGAACGACAGACCCUGGGGUAUGGAUUGAGGACUUUAUCCUUCAUAUCCACAUGGCUCGCGGAGAUGAUCUCCACGCCAUCAAAUACUUGCCCCUCAAGUUGAAAAGACCAGCUCGGCACUGGCUGAAGAGCCUCCCCGAAAACUCAAUUGGAAGUUGGGAAGAGCUUGAAGAUGCUUUCAGGGCUAAUUUUCGAGGGACCUAUGUCCGACCUCCGGAUGCGGACGUUUUAAGUCAUAUAAUUCAACAGCCCGGAGAGUCAGCCCGAAAGCUUUGGAACAGAUUCCUCACUAAGAAGAAUCAAAUUGUCGACUGCCCGGACACCGAAGCCUUAGCGGCUUUCUUGUCCGAGACGAAUGGCUCGCCAGACACCUCGGCCAGGAAAAACCGAGGACAAUGGCAGCCCUAACAAGCCUUAUGACCCGCUUUUGCGCGGGCGAAGACAGCUGGCUGGCCCGUAGCGGCACCAGUAACCCGGGCACAUCAGAAGUCAGAGAUGGCAAUGGGAAACCACGACGCAAUAAAAGCAAGCGCCGAAACAACAAAGACAGCCCAGACAACACGGCGGUAAAUGCCGGAUUCAGGAGCUCUCAACCCGGUCAACGGAAAAAGCCAUUUAAAGGUAGCAGAGAUGGACCGUCCAGCCUAAACAAGAUUCUAGACAGAUUAUGUCAGAUUCAUGGCACCUCCGACAAACCCGCAAAUCACACCAACAGAGAAUGCUAGGUCUUCAAGCAGGCCGGCAAGCUAAAUGUCGAACACAAGGGGAGGGACACACCAAGCGAAGACGAGGAUGAGCCUCGCCAGCCGAACACUGGGGGAUAGAAAAAAUUCCCACCAGAGGUCAAAACCGUGAACAUGAUUUACGCAACUCACAUACCGAAGAGGAGGCGCCAGUGCGCGCCCCGAGACAUAUACGCCGUGGAGCACGUCACCCCCAAGUUCAACCCUUCGUCGGCCCGCCCGAUCACUUUUGAUCGCAGGGAUCACUGAAAGUGCGUUAUAUCGACUAGAGGGGGGGUGAAUAGGCGAUUUUUAUGAAAUUCUUCACUGAAGAAUUUGCCGGUGAGGAAAUUCCUUAGCAAAGAACUACUAGCAGCGGAAUGAGUACUCAAAAGUAAACAUAACAUAAUACAAGCAUAGUCAUCAUGAUGAAAUGAAGACAAGCACAGAGUACAGAAGCGUAAGCACAGGAUAACACAGGAUGAAGACAAACAGACUGAAGAAAUUGAACUGAGGAAAUUGAGAAAGUCUUCAGUCAAAGUCUUCAAGCACAGAUAUGAACAACCACACAACACAGUUAUGAGGAAAUGGAAGAGUUGAGGAAAUAGAACCAGUAAGCUUGGUGAAGACAAUGAUUUGGUAGACCAGUUCCAACUGUUGUCUCAGUUGUAUGUCUGGUUGGAGCGGCUGAGUAUUUAAACUCGAGGACACACAGUCCCGGACACCCAGUCUUGAACACGCAGCUCAGGACACCCAGUCCUCACCGUAUUCUCCUUGAACUAAGGUCACACAGACCUCGUCCAAUCACUCGUGGUAAGUCUUCAGGCGACUUCCAAACCUUCACACACUUGGUCACUUGGUGAUCCACAAUUCCUCUUGGAUGCUCUAGACCAUGACGCCUAACCGUCUGGAAGAAGCACAGUCUUUAAAGGUAACAAGCGUCGGAUCCAUGCAGGAUCAAUCUCUUCAGUGAUGCUCAAUCACUUGGGGUUUGUAGGUGUUUGGGUUUUGGGUUUUUCCUCACUCGAUGAUUUUCGCUCAAAGUCCUCAGAGGAUGGGUUGCUCUCAAAUGACAAGUGUUAGUUUCUCUCGGAGCAGCCAACUAGUUAGUGGUUGUAGGGGGCGGCUAUUUAUAGCCAAGGGAGCAGCCCGACAUGAUAAGACAUAAAUGCCCUUCAAUGAUAUGACCGUUAGGUGGAUAGAUAUUUUGGGACAGCUGGCGCAUAGCAUAGCAACGGUCGGAAUUUUGAGUAGCAAAAUCCUCAGGGCUAUCAUGUUCCUCACUGUGUAGGAAAUCCGCACUGGCGAAUUCCUAAAUCCUCAGUCAGAACAAAUUCCUCAGAGACUAGAAGAACUUCGUCUCUGUCACUGAAGAAUAUGACUGGACUGUAUGAGAUUUCCAAUGGCUUCACUCGAAGGAAUUGGUAGGUGUAGGAUUUUGAGUUGAGCAUCACGUGGAAAUUUUCCUUAGUAUUUCCUCGACCCCCUUUAACAGUACGGUGUUUCCUAUGACUCAAGAAAGAUAAAAUGAAACUACGAAAACAAGAGUCUUCACGCUUCAUGUUCCUCGAACGAAUACCAAGUCUUCAAGGUCACACCAAUUUCUUCACUUUCAAAGUCUUCAUAAAGUCUUCAGUGAUCCAAAGUCUUUAGUUGAAGAACUUCAUUUUUAGGGGUUGACUUUCUCUGUAAAUAUCAAGCUCCUCAUAGACUUAUAGACCUGUGUACACUCACAAACGCAUUAGUCCCUUAACCUAUAAGUCUUCAAUACACCAAAAUCACUAAGGGGCACUAGAUGCACUUACAAUCACCCGACUAGUAUCCGGCAUGGAGGAUGGGCUGCCUUGGUGCUAGACCCAAUAAUUGACGGAUACCACCUCACCCGAGUCCUUAUGGAAGGCGACAGUAGUCUUAAUCUGAUAUAUCAGGACACCGUCCGCAAAAUGGGGAUAGACCUGACAAGAAUAAGCCAAAGCAAUACUACCUUUAAAGGAGUAAUACCAGGCCCAGAGGCCCGCUGCACGGGCUCUCUAGUACUAGAGGUUGUAUUCGGUUCUCCCAACAACUUCCGAAGUGAAAAGUUAACCUUCGACAUCGCUCCAUUCCGAAGCGGCUAUCAAGCACUACUCGGAGGAACGGCAUUCGCCCGUUUUAAUGCAAUACCGCAUUACGCUUAUCUUAAGCUUAAGAUGCCCGGUCCAUGUGGCAUCAUCAUAGUUAGCGGAAACACAGAGCGUUCCUUACAUGCGAAAGAAUGUGUGACGGCUUUAGCAGCUGAACACUAAACUGCCUCUCCAAACCAGAAUAAAUGAUCGGUCGUCAAGACCGCGGACAAGGCUAGACGAGUCCAGCGCACCACUAGCUGUAACAGCUCAAAUAAACCUAAGACUGGGUCGAUGGAUAUACCCCCAUAGGUGGUGCUAGGGGCUUCCCGCAUGUAUAAAGGACUACAGUUCGGCUUGACCUUAUUUAGAUUGAAUUUUAAUGGUUUAUUAAGAAUAACCAAUUUUUCGCAUGAAAACUUUAACUUGGGCUUUUCUCUCUUACAGAUGAUCAUCGUGCUACACCCUUCCAGGAUACGACACAACUGAGACACAGGUGCAGACGUGCAGCAGGGCCCCGUUCAAAGGUUUCUUUUUAGAUUGACCCUGUGUAAACCUUUUUUAUUGUCUCUUGUUGCUUCACACCUUCCGGAUACUCAACAUAACCAAGAGGGAUGUUGGCGUUAUUGGCAUUUCGUCACGUCAUACUAAUGCACGUACGUGGAAAUUCAGGGCUCAUUAUCGAGGGCGUUACUCAGCCCAGUAUAUGUUGUAAAGUCCGAAUACCUUAGGGAGUGUUCGGCGUCGCGAGUUUGGCCUUAUAUGCAUCAGCUCCGAAUCAUGUCUUUGGUCAAUAGUUGGGUUUGCCCGGCUCCCGUGUUUUGCUACCUUACGUUCCGCUCUAUCGGCUAAGGCGGCACCGGGAGAACUACUGCGAUUGUGCCCUGGUUCAUCUGGAUGAGCACCUCAAUAGAGAAAGCCGAAAACUGACUGUCAUGAUAAAGCGCGAGACUGGUCAACCACUCGAUGACUCAGCGGAAUCUUCGCGAUUCCUCCACAUUAACGAAGGGCCGGUUUCCUGGUCAUGUAUGUACGCGCACCGUGUUCGGAUGAGCGCGGAAGUACCAGGGGCUAUAUCGUAGCCCCACCAUCAAACUCCUAUGGCUAAGUGAAAGUGUUAAAGCUAUAUAGUCCGAUUGCCUUGUUCGCCGUGCUGUCACCUCCUUAAAGGACCAAGACGUUGGGUCAAGUGUGAAUACGCGCUUUUCCAAACACCCCCGCAUUAUGUGCGUGGGGGCUGAAGCCGACGACUGCAAACUUUCAGGUUAUAUACAUACAUAAACAGCCGCUCAGGAGGCAUGAUAAUACUUCCAGGCAAAAUUAUAAACAUAGCCUUUAUAAUCCAAAUAGUAUUGUUUUUACAAUUGGGAUACAUGUCACUCGAACAUGAUACUCUUCGAGCACUGAGCCUCUAUUAAACGAGCGCCUUCUAGGACUUCUUCAAAAUAGUGCUAGGCCGAGACCUGGCCUAGGCCGGACCCCGGGUUGCAAUAGCGGUGGCAUCCAUCUCUGCCCAGUAUGUCUUAACACGGGCAAGAGCCAUCCGCGCACCCUUUAUGCACGCCGACCUCUUUACAGCGUCGAUAUGCGGCAUAGCACCAAGGAAUCGUUGCACUAAACCAAAAUAACUAUUUGGCCUUGGCCCUUCCGGCCAAAGAUGAUCCACGACAGACCUCAUGGCAAGCCCGGACAACCUAUGGAGCUCAGCCCACUCGGCCAUUUGCUCAUUUAACAGCAGCGGACGCGUUGGAGCACAGAACUGCGACCAGAACAACUUCUCCACUUCGUGAUCUUUUUGAUCUUUGAAAAACGCAGUCGCAUCAGCAGCACUCAUUGCCAAGUCCGAAUACGCGUCUGCAGCACUCCAUAAUUGAUCCAGAGGGGCAUACUUCGGAUCUCCGAACUUCGUCCACAACAAAAAGGGCUUCCCAGCCGUGAUAUCUCCGGCUUGACGGAGCUCCUCCUUCGCCGGUCUGAUUUUAGAACGGGUUUCCUUGGCUGCUUCCACGGCUUUCUUCAGGUCAGCCGCUCUCGCUUGGCUUUCCUUUUCAAGAAGCUAAUAUCGGUCGGCGGCAUCUUUCAGCUCAACAGCCAUCUUGGCUAUUUUAUCUUCGCUCUUGCGAUGAGCAGUCUAUUCGGCUCUUAAGUCUUCGGCCGCCUUUAGGGCGGCCGCAUCACUCCUCCUGGCUUGUUCCUUGGCUCGGGCAAGUUCUGCCUGAAGGGUCUCCACGGCGGCAGCUCCAUCUGCAGUCACGGCAUAUUUUAGAUAGUAGCAUCAUGCUCCUCAUAAUAUUUGUUGACCACCCAAAAAUACAUACCAUGUGCCUCGUCAAGCCACUUGUUCACAAGCGCAAUGUCAGCAUCUGCCGCGUCAAGGUGCCGGCUCAGUCCAGCAAACUCAGCAGUCCGGCCAGCCACUAGACCGUCAGCCGCCUGCACAUGAAAGUAGCGCGAUCAUUACCUGGGACUACGAUCCUCUGUUUGCUGCCUCUGGAAAGCAACCAGAGUCUCAGGGGCUACUAUCUGUAUAGAGCACACCUAGCGUGUGCGGUACCAUAAAAAAUUUAUAUAUUACUUUGCGUACCUCAAAGCCUCUUAGCAGGCUCGUAAAAGCUUCAUGCAACCCACUUUUGGCGGAUGAGAUCCUCUGAACCACCAUACCCAUUAAAGUAAGAUGCUCCUCUGAGAUAGCCGCUUGCUCCAAAAGACCCAUCAGUACGUCCGGUUGUGCACCGGACAAUCCUAGACUCUUUCUGUUGCUCUCCUUAGGAGCCGAAUACUGCGGACUUCGGGUGGCCGAAGGGUUACCUUCUGUCCUUGGCGGAUCAAGAGAAAUCCUCCGUGAUGACACCUCAGGGUCGUCCGCCCCAGAAGGCUGGGAGACAGGGGGAGGCGUUUCACUCUCCAUCAUCUCCGGAAGAAGAUCCCCCAAAGACGAACUCUGUCGAGAAGGGCUACGAUCCGGAGUGCAAGACAUAUGUCUCGGUUAUUGUCCUCGGAGAUAAAGCAGGAUAUAUUUACCAAAACUACUCUGGUUCACUUACAGCUCGGUGGAGGGCUGACCCCCUUGCGGGCACUGUGCGGUAAGGACGCCCUCCGGGGCAGGGCCCCUGGCGAAGAUUUCUUCCCUUGUUUGGAAACGCUCGUUUCCAAGUCUUCAGAGGCGGUCCUUUUCCUUCCUUGGGGAGAGGGGAUUCUAGAUUCUUCUCCCCGAUUAUCCUCCUUCGCGGAGACACUAAUUCCCCCGGUUUGGAUGAGUAAUGCGUGAGGUCCGCUUUCGUCUUCUUUAUUCCUCCCUUUAUCUUCCCCUGAUGGCACUUGAUAAGGUGCGUGCUCAAGCAUCCUGGCUAGUAUAGGAUCCGGUGAGCCUUCGGGAAGGGGGUCGAACACCUGAUCAUCUUUGCAUUUCUUAUCCAGUCCUGGCCAAGAGCGAUUUUUUCAGAAUGAUGUUGUGACAAAUAAAAGGACAGCAUGUUCGGCCGCAGAAUUACUUACCUGGGUAUCUGGAUGGUUGCAGUUGAGACCCACAUCCUCGGUGGUGUUCGGACACUUUAUUCAUGAUCUGAAGAACAAUCCAUACAUCUCUUCGAGCGUCACACCGAAGAACUGCUGAAUAGUUCGUGGUCCUUCCGGGUUGAACUCCCACAUACGGAGAGAUCGACGUUGGCAUGGCAGGACCCGACAAACUAGCAUGACUUGCAUUACCUUGACAAGGCUGACAUCUCUCUUGAGGAGAUCUCGGAUGCGACUCUGCAAUGUCGGCACAUCAUUAACUGGCCCCCAGUCCAUCCCCUUGUUGACCCAUGAUGCCAGUUGUGGCGGGGGGCCGGGCGGAAGGCGGGGGCAGCUUCCCACUUCGUACUUCGGGGAGCCAUGAUGUAAAACCACUCCCGCUGCCAUAAGUUGGACACCUCCAGGAAGGAACCCUUUGGCCAUGGAGCAUCGGUGCCUUUGCUUAUUAUGGCACCUCCGCAUUCUGUGUGUCGCCCAUCGAUCAUCUUCGGCUUCACAUUGAAGGUCUUGAGCCAUAAUCCGAAGUGUGGGGUGAUGCGGAGGAAGGCCUCACACACGAUGAUAAACAACGAGAUGUGAAGGACGGAAUCUUGAGCUAGAUCGUGGAAGUCGAGCCCGUAAUAGAACAUAAGCCCUCUAACAAAGGGAUCAAGACUAAAGCCUAGCACUCGGAGGAAGUGGGAAACAAAUACGACACUCCCGUUGGGUUCGGGAGUGGGGAUGACCUGCCCUUGAGCAGGCAGCCUGUGCGAGAUUUCGACGGUCAGAUACCUGGCUUCCCUUAGCUUCUUGAUGUCCUCCUCUGUGAUAGAGGAAGCCAUCCACCGGCCUUGAAGGUUGGAUCCGGACAUGGUUGAAGGUCCGAAGUGCUUAGCCUGAGCCUUGGGUGUUGAAACUCGGGGUGGGGGAAGGGAAGGAUUGAGCGCGAGAAGAAAGGGACAGGCCUUGGCCCCUUUAUAAAGAGGGCGAAUAUCAAGCGUCCUCCGUGUGGCCGUUUGGAACUUGCCUAAAAUCGAGGAGUCAUAUUAACAAGCACGAUUGGGUUACCCACACCCGUAUUGAUGGGACUCCCGUGAUAAGGGGAACACGAUCUCUGCUUCGACAAGACGUGCCAAUAAAACCGCCUCGCAACACAUGCGGUGGCAGGCAGGAAAAACGGUUCGUAAUGACCGGGCCACGGCAGGACGUCAUGUUAUGAAAAGUUGUCAGCAGAUUAGAUUUGUGGAAAAAUAUACUCUCUAUGGUGGUAUGUGGAAUUUGUUUUUCAGAGCCGGACACGAUCCUUGGGUUCAAAAUCUUCUAUGGGGUAUUCGGAGAAGGAACCCGCCUUGCAAUGCCGAAGACAAUCUGCGCGCCGGACUCAUCGUCAUUGAAGCCUGGUUCAUGGGCUACUGAGGGAGUCCUGGAUUAGGGGGUCCUCGGACAGCCGGACUAUAUACUUUGGCCGGAUUGUUGGACUGUGAAGAUACAAGAUUGAAGACUUCGUCCCGUGUCCGGGUGGGACUCUCCUUUGCGUGGAAGGCAAGCUUCGCAAUUCAGAUAUGUAGAUAUCCUCCCUUGUAACCGACUUUGUGUAACCCUAGCCCCCUCCGGUGUCUAUAUAAACUGGAGGGUUUAGUCCGUAGGACAAGAACAAUCAUAAUCAUAGGCUAGCUUCUAGGGUAUAGCCUCUACGAUCUCGUGGUAGAUCAACUCUUGUAAUACUCAUAUCAUCAAGAUCAAUCAAGCAGGAAGUAGGGUAUUACCUUCAUCGAGAGGGCCCGAACCUGGGUAAACAUUGUGUCCCCCGCCUCCUGUUACCAUCCGCCUUAGACGCACAGUUCGGAACCCCCUAUCCGAGAUCCGCCGGUUUUGACACCGACACUUGCUUUGGGCCUUAACUUAGAAACUGAGAUAGCAACUAGGAAUGAUACACUAAGAGAAACUAGAAAAUACCAAGACAUUUGGUAAGUCAUGGUAUAACACAUAUGUUACUCUGAGCAUCGACCUGUCUCCUUGGUAAGCCCAGUUCCCACGGAAGAUGUGUUUUUAUUGGUUACACAUGUAUAUAUUGGGCCCUAGUUUUUUAUGGCCCAUAAAAUAAUAUGUACAAGGCUUUUUUUUGGAAGGAGCCAACACAACCUAAUAUAUUAUAUAUUAAAAGUAAUAGAUGGGCUCACCAGAAAAGGAUAAAAAUGCUAGAAAAUCCCUCAAAACAAAAAACAUCCGACUGUCAAUCUAUUAUAUAUU
RNAcentral lists this long non-coding RNA (21893 nucleotides) under Triticum aestivum (bread wheat). RNAcentral's name for it is "long non-coding RNA (TAES_LNC015552)". Lineage: Eukaryota; Viridiplantae; Streptophyta; Magnoliopsida; Poales; Poaceae. The record is from RNAcentral.